CAAACCAAAGCUGGCGACCGGCGCACGGGUGAGUAACACGUAUCCAACCUGCCUCAUACUCGGGGAUAGCCUUUCGAAAGAAAGAUUAAUAUCCGAUAGCAUAUAUUUCCCGCAUGGGUUUUAUAUUAAAGAAAUUCGGUAUGAGAUGGGGAUGCGUUCCAUUAGUUUGUUGGGGGGGUAACGGCCCACCAAGACUACGAUGGAUAGGGGUUCUGAGAGGAACGCCCCCCACAUUGGAACUGAGACACGGUCCAA
Molecule: ribosomal RNA, 255 nt
Filed under: uncultured bacterium
Lineage: Bacteria
Description: partial 16S ribosomal RNA
Rfam family: Bacterial small subunit ribosomal RNA
Source: RNAcentral